This 566-nucleotide ribosomal RNA is filed under the name uncultured bacterium. Its description in RNAcentral is "partial 16S ribosomal RNA". It matches the Rfam family "Bacterial small subunit ribosomal RNA", at positions 355 to 912 of the family's 1533-position model. The record is from RNAcentral.
UGGGGAAUAUUGCACAAUGGGCGCAAGCCUGAUGCAGCCAUGCCGCGUGUGUGAAGAAGGCCUUCGGGUUGUAAAGCACUUUCAGCGAGGAGGAAGGUGGUGGACUUAAUACGUUCAUCAAUUGACGUUACUCGCAGAAGAAGCACCGGCUAACUCCGUGCCAGCAGCCGCGGUAAUACGGAGGGUGCAAGCGUUAAUCGGAAUUACUGGGCGUAAAGCGCACGCAGGCGGUUUGUUAAGUCAGAUGUGAAAUCCCCGGGCUCAACCUGGGAACUGCAUUUGAAACUGGCAAGCUAGAGUCUCGUAGAGGGGGGUAGAAUUCCAGGUGUAGCGGUGAAAUGCGUAGAGAUCUGGAGGAAUACCGGUGGCGAAGGCGGCCCCCUGGACGAAGACUGACGCUCAGGUGCGAAAGCGUGGGGAGCAAACAGGGUUAGAUACCCUGGUAGUCCACGCUGUAAACGAUGUCGAUUUUGGAGGUUGUGCCCUUGAGGCGUGGCUUCCGGAGCUAACGCGUUAAAUCGACCGCCUGGGGAGUACGGCCGCAAGGUUAAAACUCAAAUGAAUUG